Long non-coding RNA from Melopsittacus undulatus (budgerigar), 574 nucleotides. RefSeq lists it as uncharacterized. The record is from RefSeq and is a predicted model, not a curated record. Lineage: Eukaryota; Metazoa; Chordata; Aves; Psittaciformes; Psittaculidae. The transcript is spliced from 3 exons.
UCCUUUCUGUAGCAUGCAGAACAGGUACAGGUUCUGUGGUCCUGUGCUAUGAAGCCUACUUACUGAUAGCUGGAAAUGUUGACUGCACUAUCUUUAUAAACUCAGGUCAAAACCACCUUUCAGAUUAAGCAAUAAUUUUACCAAGAUUAAAGGGAAGGGAGAGAACACAUGGCCAGUUAGUCACCAGAGGUACACACGUAUUCAUAGAGUAAAUCCCCAACCUGCUAUAGUAAUGCACUUAGUUACUGGAAAUGCAUGUGAGAUUAUUUUCAUGAGCAAGGAUGAAAGAACUUGUUUAACCUUUGUACAGCAUUUUCCACCCACACAGAAAAGUGACAUCAGAUGCUUUGUAGAGAUGAAAAACAAGUCAGUAUUUGGGAGUCCUCUGAACAAGAGACAGAGAUACCCCAUCACCCACGUUAAUGACUCCGAUGCAAACAACGAACCAACCCUUCAGCUCUGUGUGUGAAGCACUGGACAGGAAGCACUUGCUAGAAGGUUUGGGUGUAGUUCCUGCAUGUCCCAGCAUACAAGAAGAAAGGAUUUUGUUUUAAUUGACAUUUUUGACUGAUGU